RNAcentral lists this long non-coding RNA (819 nucleotides) under Homo sapiens (human). RNAcentral's name for it is "STAG3L5P-PVRIG2P-PILRB readthrough". Lineage: Eukaryota; Metazoa; Chordata; Mammalia; Primates; Hominidae. The record is from RNAcentral.
GUAGUCGCCCUCCGUCGUGGCCUGGCGUGGAUUCCGAGCGUUGGUGUCUGGCGGUUUCCGACCGUUGGUGUCUGGCACGCGCCACCCCGAUGUACCAGGUAAAGCCCUAUCACGGGGUCGGCGCCCCUCUCCGUGUGGAGCCCACCUGCAUGUACUGGCUCCCCAACAUGCACGGCAGGAGCGGCGGCCCAGCACUCGGCACUGGCCACUUGCAGACAAGAAGACAAGAAAAUGAUUUGAGGACAGCUUCAAUCGCGGUGUGAAGAAGAAAGCAACAAAACGACCACUGAAAACAAUGCCGGUGGCAAAACAUCCAAAGAAAGGGUCCCAAGUGGUACAUCGUCAUAGCUGGAAACAGUCAGAGCCACCAGCCAAUGAUCUUUUCAAUGCUGCGAAAGCUGCCAAAAGUGACAUGCAGUGUGGCCAUGAGGUCUGCCGGAAGUGACUUGUUGGUGUUAUCUCCUGAGUUAAAAUGUGAAGGGAUUUUUUUUUUUCAGAUUACUGAGAGUCUUCAGUUACUAGAGGCGGAUUUCCCUGACUGAAGACCAUGUUGCAGGCCCACAGCUGCCUACAGAACCGUCCCAAAAUAUGGCAAAGAAACCUAUUCUGAGCGAUAGGGUCUCACCAUGUUGCCCAGGCUGGUCUUGAACUCCUGGACUCAUCCUAAAGUGCUGGCCUCUCAUUCCCUGUCUGUGCACACCUCACGGCAAGGGCCAGCCUGUUUCCUCCCGGUCACCUCCAAAUCUUGCUGCUUUUAAUUCAACUCAGAGGCCUAGCCAGGGUUGAGUUCUCACCCACCUGUGCCGCCCUGCCUUGUUA